AUGAGCGAUGCUAUGGAUGACUCCGGUAUCAUCCGCCGGCGGAGGAUGCAGAAGGAUCUUCCCUUGCCCAGGAAGAGCAGUGGGGCUCAGUGGGAUGCCGCACAUCUGUAUCCAAACACAACAUAUGCUGGUGACCAGUCGUGUUGCUCUCUACAGCAGGAGCAACAGAUGAAGAAGCAUCAGACACGGCGCUCUAGAGGCAUAUGAAGAUGAGAAAUGUAACAGGUGUGCAGUAAGGAUGAUGAAGCGUCCCGCCGCGGAGCAGCUCUCUCAGCUUUAGUAAAUUGACUGCUCUUCUGUAGAGCAAGCAAGUGUUGUGUGUGUUGCGUUCAAUAAGUCAAUCUUCCUGCUGUGUGUCGUGAAACAGGUUUAGUGUAUUAGUUGUGUUGUAAUCUAAUGUUAGAUUAUUAGUCUUUAUAUGAGUGUGUCCUUUGAGAGUCUGAGCAGCUGUUAAAUGGGAGCCUGUCUGGGUCAAUCUCCAUGGCAACCAUUGAUGUAACCUCUGACCUUAUGAUGACAGAUUUCCGGACGGGAAAAUUAGCACUUUCUUUUGUUUGUUUGUGCCUUUUAAAGGUGUCUCAAAUCGCACAUAUUUUUGUGUUCAUUCUUCCAUCCUCUAUUCUUUUUCUUUUAGUAGAUGAUUUUUUCGGGUGACGUUUUUCUCUCUUAAUCCCCGAAUAUAUAAGCAGAGGAACAGACGUCACGGGGUCUUGGUCAGGUCUUCACUUCAGUGCACUCACAAUCCUUUAAAUCCGACACAAAGGAAUCACCAGCAUUUACAUUUACAUCAAAACCAAAGGAAAUUCAUAAAUUUUUUAUACAUGUAUAAAAAUAAUCUAAAUUUAUAUAUGUAUGUAUAUCUAUCGCCAGGGCCGUGAUGAUACACACCCAUAUCUCACGUCUACAAGUGUCAUAUUGCGCUUAUACAACAGUUCAACGUAUAUUUUAAUUAUAAUGACCCUGCUCAUGGCAUAUUUUAACAAAAAUCCUAUAUCUAAAAUAGUCAUUCAUGGGGUUAUAUAUAUAUAUGCUUAUUAUGAUUAGUCAUUGUUGGUUCUAAUACAACUUAAAAAAAAAUAUUUGAGAUUGCUUUCACUGUAAUUAUUUUAUUGAGUUUUCUUUUUUGUUGUAUUACUGUCUUGCCCCAAUUGUGAUUAAAUGAAAGCAUGUGAAAAUUAAAAAACAUAAUACUUCCAUCUCUUUGCCU
Molecule: long non-coding RNA, 1207 nt
Organism: Cyprinus carpio (common carp)
Lineage: Eukaryota; Metazoa; Chordata; Actinopteri; Cypriniformes; Cyprinidae
Source: Ensembl